Molecule: ribosomal RNA, 254 nt
Filed under: uncultured bacterium
Lineage: Bacteria
Description: partial 16S ribosomal RNA
Rfam family: Bacterial small subunit ribosomal RNA
Source: RNAcentral
UACGAAGGGGGCUAGCGUUGCUCGGAAUCACUGGGCGUAAAGCGCACGUAGGCGGUUUCUUAAGUCAGGGGUGAAAUCCUGGAGCUCAACUCCAGAACUGCCUUUGAUACUGGGAGACUUGGAGUCCGGGAGAGGUGAGUGGAACUGCGAGUGUAGAGGUGAAAUUCGUAGAUAUUCGCAAGAACACCAGUGGCGAAGGCGGCUCACUGGCCCGGUACUGACGCUGAGGUGCGAAAGCAUAGGGAGCAAACAGG